Non-coding RNA from Xenopus laevis (African clawed frog), 69 nucleotides. The record is from Rfam. Lineage: Eukaryota; Metazoa; Chordata; Amphibia; Anura; Pipidae.
GCUUUUCCUCCUCAGACCCACUGGCGUUAUAUACAGAGAAGCCUGUAGGAUCCUGUGGGAGGAAAAGGC